AAAUAUUCGCAAAAAAUCAUCGAUAACUUUUCUGCCUAUAAUUGUAGCAACGCGUGGCUUAGCAUUGCCAGCGCCUCACGACGGCCGGAUAUAAAAACUUAACCUUAUUUUUUGUUUGUAGUGUCUAUAAAUAAAGAUCGAUGCUCGGAUGAAAGCAUUGUGUACAACAAGCAUUGUGUAUGUGAAAAGUGUUUGAAAAAAGUUUGAAAAGUAUGGAAUUGAAGGGAAGAGGUGACAAAAGAAAGUAGACAAAGAAGAGAGUGAAAAACUAGAGUGAGAUUGGAAGAAAAAAGUAGAAAAGUGCGAAGUGAACAAAAAGUGAGGUUAGAAAGACUGCAAGCAGGCAAGGAAAGGAAAAGGAAGCAGGCAAAAGAUAUUUCAUCGUCAAAAUAAUGGUGAGGAAGAGAGCUUUUUGUAAAUAAUUAUAGAAUAGAUAUUGAUAUCUUUUUUUCCAUAUGAUAUUCUUGAUUCUGGUUCUUGAUUCGAUCGAUAUGUUUCAUUUCAUUUCUUAAUUAUUAUUAUUAUUAUUAUGCGAUAUACAAACUUAUUACGGUUAAACCGGUACAUCAUAAGUUAGCCCGUUAUGGAUGUAAGGGUUAGUGAAGAUUCUCGAUUGCUCCUAAAUACACGAGCUUUCGUAAGUACACACUUUCCGAAAGGGUCUUCUUGUCCAAGCUCCUUUCAUGCAUACCGAAUUUUCGUUAUCUCAUGCGCGCUACUUUACGAGAGAAAUGGAAAACCCACGUUUAAUGCGAGAUCCUCUUUCCUUCCUUCCUUCUCAAAUUUCUUCCUCAUCUCUUGAAUUAAUCGUUUAGUUUAAACAUUGAAUCUUUGAAGAAUACGUGUUCUCUUAAUAUCAUUUCUUACGUAUUAUGAAAUCAUUGUUUCAAUUUGCUUUUUUUAUUUUUAGAAAAUAUUACAAUUUUUCUUAUAUUGAGAAUUGUUGGUUAAUAUUUUCCUCGUUAAUUCUAUAAAUGAAUCUAAUUUCUUUCACAAUAUAAUUUUUUUUUCUAUCAUUCCUUCAUUAAUUUCAUAAAUGAUCCAUUUCUUCCUCAAUAAUAUAAUCUCUAUUACUCACUUGACAUCCGUAUAAAUAUAUGAACACUAGAUACACGUUCUAUCUAACCAUUUCGUUCCUCUGCAAAGAUUUUAUGCCAUAACUCAAAAGAUAACCCCUUGCUGUCUUCAUGCCCCCUCCCUUCGUAUUUCCACUUUCCUCUUCAUUUUUCACAAAUUUAGUUUCUCAACUCUCGUUCCUCUCAACCUGCGUCGUAAAGAAGUAUUCUGUUCUCGUCUGACACAUGUUCUCAAGUACGAUACGCGUAUAAAUUCGAGGAAUACGCGCGAAGGAAACAUGUUUCGCGAGGAAAGUCGGAGGAGGAUGAUCGUUAAUGGGCGAGUUGUGGCAGAGCUGGCAGAUUCGGGCCGCGGAUUCGAGCUCUCGUGAAAUCUCCGUUACUCGUCCACCCAUUAUCCAUUUACGGCCGUGUUUUAUCGAUCGAUUGCCGGACUCGAGAGAGUCACGCGUAUAUCGCCUACGUACGACACGCCACGCUUCGCCGACAGAAGCGUUUCCAACAUUCCUACGUCGUUACUCUCGCUCUACGCCCUGAUUUCACCUCGAAUUCAUACGAAUUUACAACCGUUCGUUCCCUCGACGAGAAAGAGAAAAAAGAAAAAAAAAAAGGAAAAAAGGAGGAGAAUCUUUUAUAACCG
Molecule: long non-coding RNA, 1716 nt
Organism: Apis florea (little honeybee)
Lineage: Eukaryota; Metazoa; Arthropoda; Insecta; Hymenoptera; Apidae
Source: RefSeq, a predicted model, not a curated record